Molecule: ribosomal RNA, 434 nt
Filed under: uncultured bacterium
Lineage: Bacteria
Description: bacterial SSU rRNA
Rfam family: Bacterial small subunit ribosomal RNA
Source: RNAcentral
AACGUACGCUGGCGGCACGCCUUAUACAUGCAAGUCGAACGGAGUAGCAAUACUUAGUGGCAGACGGGUGAGUAACAUGUGGGUAUCUUCCCUUUGGUGAGGAAUAACACGAGGAAACUUGUGCUAAUACCUCAUAAGUCUUUACGGAGAAAGCUUUAUGCGCCAAUGGAUGAGCCCGCACUUGAUUAGUUUGUUGGUAGGGUAAUGGCCUACCAAGACUGUGAUCAAUAGCUGAUUUGAGAGGAUGAUCAGCCACAUUGGGACUGAGACACGGCCCAAACUCCUACGGGAGGCAGCAGUAGGGAAUCUUGCACAAUGGAGGAAACUCUGAUGCAGCGAUGCCGCGUGAGUGAAGAAGGCCCUUGGGUUGUAAAGCUCUUUCGUCGGGGAAGAAAAUGACUGUACCCGAAUAAGAAGGUCCGGCUAACUUCGUG